RNAcentral lists this ribosomal RNA (487 nucleotides) under uncultured bacterium. Its description in RNAcentral is "bacterial SSU rRNA". It matches the Rfam family "Bacterial small subunit ribosomal RNA", at positions 28 to 507 of the family's 1533-position model. The record is from RNAcentral.
GACGAACGCUGGCGGCGUGGAUUAGGCAUGCAAGUCGAACGGUAUCAUCCUUUCGGGGGUGAGAGAGUGGCGAACUGGUGAGUAACACGUAGGUUAUCUACCCUCAAGACGGGGACAACCCAGGGAAACUUGGGCUAAUACCGGAUGUGAGCAACUUUAGUUGUUUGAAAGGUGGCGUAAGCUGUCGCUUGGGGAUGAGCCUGCGUCCUAUUAGUUAGUUGGUGAGGUAACGGCUCACCUAGGCAAUGAUAGGUAGGCGGCCUUAACGGGUGGUCGCCCACACUGGGAUUGAGAUACCGGCCCAGACUCCUACGGGAGGCAGCAGUCGAGAAUAGUCUACAAUGGUCGGAAGACUGAUAGUGCGACGCCGCGUGAACGAUGAAUCCCUUCGGGGUGUAAAGUUCUUUUAUAUGUGAGCAGUGCUUCUUAUAUUAACAGUAUGGGGAGAGAGAUAUUAGCAUAUGAAUAAGCAACGGCUAACUCCGUG